CUCCACUCUAAGAUUGACCUCCACUCAACAAACAUAUGCUGGCCUUAACCAAAACCAACUGGAAGACGAGAUGUGCCAGUUUUCCUGCUUUCCUUGCAGGCAUGCAGACGACCAGAGGAACAGCUUGCAGACUCCAUAUCCCAAUCAGUGGCUUCAGCAGUGUGAAUCUUUUCAGGAGCCACAAAAGCCUGAAAAUCAAAGGACCCUGCAAAGGCCACAAGAUUCACCUGCAGCUGUCCAGGUACCUCCAAUAAAAUCCAAUUCAUGGACCCUGCGAAGGCCACAAAAUAAUGGGAGCUGCCACGAGACGCCUGCAUCAAGAGUUGGUGACAUUCCCCCAGAAACAAGAACAAGAAACAAGGACAUUCAUUCACCAGAAGGCCACUUCACAGAAGACAGUUCACCAAGUGGGAUCUACAGCAAGACACCUGCAAGAGUUGACUGUAAGAGGCCUAGUUUCAAUGUGUUAAAUAAUUCAGAGUUACAUUUUCUGUUUCAACGUGAUUUCAAUGGAUUUUCUUUUCCUAAUGAACAUGUCUUUUUAUUUGUUAGGUACGUUCAUCACUCCAGUGACUUAACUCUGUCUACACUGUAAUUAUGCAAAUGGAUGACAGUAGAUGCUGAACUUACCUUAACUCAGUAUUUAUGUUUGGCUAGAAGCAUUUUUUUUUCUACCCAAAUCUAAGAUCCCGAUCAUCCAAAUCCAUGGCCUCAGCCAGUGCAUAAACUCCAGGAUGGCACAGAUCCUGGAGUCAUGAGGCCCUAUUUGAAACUACAAACUCAUUAAUGCAGGAAAUGCUCACCAAGCAGGAGAUGAUUCUCGAGCAGCAAACGCACAUCCUAAAAAUUCUACAUGCCAGAAAACAUGUCCCUCAAUUUGAAAUGGAUGAGGGUCUCCUGCCAGUAAGGGACCAG
Molecule: long non-coding RNA, 915 nt
Organism: Gasterosteus aculeatus aculeatus (three-spined stickleback)
Lineage: Eukaryota; Metazoa; Chordata; Actinopteri; Perciformes; Gasterosteidae
Source: RefSeq, a predicted model, not a curated record